This 355-nucleotide long non-coding RNA is filed under the name Rattus norvegicus (Norway rat). RNAcentral's name for it is "long non-coding RNA NONRATT005805". The record is from RNAcentral. Lineage: Eukaryota; Metazoa; Chordata; Mammalia; Rodentia; Muridae.
GCUAUGUAACUCAUUUCCUAAUUGUUUAUCUGAAUCUUCCCUUCUGCCUCUGCCUUUCUCUCACAAAGAUACUUGCCACUUGAAUUCCUUACAUUAUAAAAAAAAAAAAAAAAAAGAAUUCCUUACAUUAUUUGAUCUCAUUUCAAGACCUUCAACUUGGGGCUGGAGAGAUGACUCAGCAGUUAAAAAGUGUUUGGUACCUAACACUCAGGUUGGUGUCUCACAACCUCCUGUAAGUCCAGCUGCAGGGUAUCUGGUGUCCUCUUCUGUCCUCUUCUGGUACCUGAACAUAUGUGGCAUAUUCACAGAGAAACACACAUAUACACAAGUAAAAAUAAUUUAAACAAACUCUUUG